AGAAUCAACGCUGGCGGCGUGCCUAACACAUGCAAGUCGCACGAGAAAGGGGCUUCGGCUCUGAGUAAAGUGGCGCACGGGGUGAGUAACACGUGAAUAAUCUACCUCCGAGUGGGGAAUAACUGAGAGAAAUCUUAGCUAAUACCGCAUAACACUUACGAGUCAAAGCAGCAAUGCGCUUGGAGAGGAGUUCGCGGCCGAUUAGUUAGUUGGCGGGGUAAUGGCCCACCAAGACGAUGAUCGGUA
RNAcentral lists this ribosomal RNA (246 nucleotides) under uncultured bacterium. Its description in RNAcentral is "partial small subunit ribosomal RNA". It matches the Rfam family "Bacterial small subunit ribosomal RNA", at positions 26 to 285 of the family's 1533-position model. The record is from RNAcentral.